This 1346-nucleotide ribosomal RNA is filed under the name uncultured bacterium. RNAcentral describes it as "partial 16S ribosomal RNA". It matches the Rfam family "Bacterial small subunit ribosomal RNA", at positions 28 to 1381 of the family's 1533-position model. The record is from RNAcentral.
GACGAACGCUGGCGGCGUGCUUAACACAUGCAAGUCGAACGGAAAGGCCCUGCUUUUGUGGGGUGCUCGAGUGGCAAACGGGUGAGUAACACGUGAGUAACCUGCCCUUGACUUUGGGAUAACUUCAGGAAACUGGGGCUAAUACCGGAUAGGAGCUCCUGCUGCAUGGUGGGGGUUGGAAAGUUUCGGCGGUUGGGGAUGGACUCGCGGCUUAUCAGCUUGUUGGUGGGGUAGUGGCUUACCAAGGCUUUGACGGGUAGCCGGCCUGAGAGGGUGACCGGCCACAUUGGGACUGAGAUACGGCCCAGACUCCUACGGGAGGCAGCAGUGGGGAAUAUUGCACAAUGGGCGGAAGCCUGAUGCAGCAACGCCGCGUGCGGGAUGACGGCCUUCGGGUUGUAAACCGCUUUCGCCUGUGACGAAGCGUGAGUGACGGUAAUGGGUAAAGAAGCACCGGCUAACUACGUGCCAGCAGCCGCGGUGAUACGUAGGGUGCGAGCGUUGUCCGGAUUUAUUGGGCGUAAAGGGCUCGUAGGUGGUUGAUCGCGUCGGAAGUGUAAUCUUGGGGCUUAACCCUGAGCGUGCUUUCGAUACGGGUUGACUUGAGGAAGGUAGGGGAGAAUGGAAUUCCUGGUGGAGCGGUGGAAUGCGCAGAUAUCAGGAGGAACACCAGUGGCGAAGGCGGUUCUCUGGGCCUUUCCUGACGCUGAGGAGCGAAAGCGUGGGGAGCGAACAGGCUUAGAUACCCUGGUAGUCCACGCUGUAAACGGUGGGUACUAGGUGUGGGGUCCAUUCCACGGGUUCCGUGCCGUAGCUAACGCUUUAAGUACCCCGCCUGGGGAGUACGGCCGCAAGGCUAAAACUCAAAGGAAUUGACGGGGCCCCGCACAAGCGGCGGAGCAUGCGGAUUAAUUCGAUGCAACGCGUAGAACCUUACCUGGGUUUGACAUGGAUCGGGAGUGCUCAGAGAUGGGUGUGCCUCUUUUGGGGUCGGUUCACAGGUGGUGCAUGGCUGUCGUCAGCUCGUGUCGUGAGAUGUUGGGUUAAGUCCCGCAACGAGCGCAACCCUUGUUCACUGUUGCCAGCACGUUAUGGUGGGGACUCAGUGGAGACCGCCGGGGUCAACUCGGAGGAAGGUGGGGAUGACGUCAAGUCAUCAUGCCCCUUAUGUCCAGGGCUUCACGCAUGCUACAAUGGCUGGUACAGAGAGUGGCGAGCCUGUGAGGGUGAGCGAAUCUCGGAAAGCCGGUCUCAGUUCGGAUUGGGGUCUGCAACUCGCCCUCAUGAAGUCGGAGUCGCUAGUAAUCGCAGAUCAGCAACGCUGCGGUGAAUACGUUCCCGGGGCU